CACAUUAAACCCAACAGCGGCCCCUCUCUGGGGACACCGAGCUCCGGCACGCGGCCAGCAUCCGCACGGAAUCCCCGCGAGUGGCACCGGGAAGUUUCAUGCCGCCCCAGAGCAGUGUGGGCCAGGGAAGGUUCAUCGUUUUGGGGAUGAUUUGCUUUACUGAGCAGUGGAACAGCUGAGCGAGUGGAGGGAAACGGAACAAGUUCACCGGGAGUGCGGCAAAGCCUCGCCGUGCCUGUCCCAGCACCAGGCUGCCAGGACGGGCAGCCAGAGCACAUCUCAGUGCUGCCAGGCUGUGCCCACAGGUGAUGCCCGUGGGAUGUGUCUCUGGCAGAACUGGCUCUGCUUGGGCACAGAAACUCUCAGGGACAGACAGAGAACCCCUUUCCUGCAGACCCCGCUGCAGUGCAGCUCUGCCAGCAAUGCCAGAGCACACUGUGAGCUCCCUCCUUCCAGCACCAGGGUCACCAGCCCCAGCGCCUGAACAAAACCAAACUCUUGAUCACGGACUCGGAGGAAUUUUGGAGCCAAAGGGGCCACGACGGCAGCAGCAUGAAACAGUUUUUAAAACCAAACACCCAACGAGCACAGUGCUUCUGACAGAAUAAACAUUUCGAACCAAGCCCAGAGAA
Vidua chalybeata is the source of this 632-nucleotide long non-coding RNA. RefSeq lists it as uncharacterized. The transcript has 2 exons. Lineage: Eukaryota; Metazoa; Chordata; Aves; Passeriformes; Viduidae. The record is from RefSeq and is a predicted model, not a curated record.